AACGAACGCUGGCGGCAGGCUUAACGCAUGCAAGUCGAACGCCCCGCACGGGGUGUGGCGCACAGGUGAGUAACGCGUGGAUAUCUGCCUUUUUGUUCGGAAUAACCCCGGGAAACUGUGGCUAAUACCGGAUGGUUCCUACGGGAUAAAGAUUUAUCGCCAAAAGAUGAGUCCGCGUACGAUUAGCUAGUUGGUGAGGUAAUGGCUCACCAAGGCGACGAUCGUUAGCUGGUCUGAGAGGACGAUCAGCCACACUGGGACUGAGACACGGCCCAGACUCCUACGGGAGGCAGCAGUGGGGAAUAUUGGACAAUGGGGGCAACCCUGAUCCAGCCAUGCCGCGUGAGUGAUGAAGGCCUUCGGGUUGUAAAGCUCUUUUGGCGGGGACGAUGAUGACGGUACCCGCAGAAUAAGCCCCGGCUAACUUCGUG
RNAcentral lists this ribosomal RNA (431 nucleotides) under uncultured bacterium. RNAcentral describes it as "partial 16S ribosomal RNA". It matches the Rfam family "Bacterial small subunit ribosomal RNA", at positions 29 to 507 of the family's 1533-position model. The record is from RNAcentral.